Molecule: ribosomal RNA, 466 nt
Filed under: uncultured bacterium
Lineage: Bacteria
Description: partial 16S ribosomal RNA
Rfam family: Bacterial small subunit ribosomal RNA
Source: RNAcentral
GACGAACGCUGGCGGCGUGCUUAACACAUGCAAGUCGAACGGUAAGGCUCCAGCUUGCUGGGGUACACGAGUGGCGAACGGGUGAGUAACACGUGGGUGACCUGCCCUGCACUUCGGGUUAAGCCUGGGAAACUGGGUCUAAUACCGGAUAGGACCAUGGUGUGGAUACUGUGGUGGAAAGUUUUUUCGGUGUGGGAUGGGCCCGCGGCCUAUCAGCUUGUUGGUGGGGUAAUGGCCUACCAAGGCGGCGACGGGUAGCCGGCCUGAGAGGGUGGACGGCCACAUUGGGACUGAGACACGGCCCAGACUCCUACGGGAGGCAGCAGUGGGGAAUAUUGCACAAUGGGCGGAAGCCUGAUGCAGCGACGCCGCGUGGGGGAUGACGGCCUUCGGGUUGUAAACUCCUUUCACCAUCGACGAAGGGUUUCUGACGGUGGAUGGAGAAGAAGCACCGGCUAACUACGUG